AGAGUUUGAUCCUGGCUCAGAACGAACGCUUGCGGCGCGCCUAAUACAUGCAAGUCGAACGACGUAGCAAUACGGAGUGGCGCACGGGUGAGAAACGCGUGGGUAAUCUGCCCUUCAGUGUGGAAUAACCAGUCGAAAGAUUGGCUAAUACCGCAUGAGACCACAGUUCCUGAGGGAACAGAGGUUAAAGAUUUAUCGCUGAAGGAUGAGCCUGCGUAAGAUUAGCUAGUUGGUGAGGUAACGGCUCACCAAGGCAAUGAUCUUUAGCUGGUCUGAGAGGAUGAUCAGCCACACUGGAACUGAGACACGGUCCAGACUCCUACGGGAGGCAGCAGUAGGGAAUAUUGCGCAAUGGGGGAAACCCUGACGCAGCGACGCCGCGUGAGUGAUGAAGGCCUUCGGGUCGUAAAGCUCUGUUGAAUGGGACAAAAAAAAUGAUGGUACCAUUCGAGAAAGGAUCGGCUAACUUCGUGCCAGCAGCCGCGGUAAGACGAGGGAUCCUAGCGUUGUUCGGAAUCAUUGGGCGUAAAGCGUGCGUAGGCGGCCUUGUAAGUCAGUUGUGAAAGCCCCGAGCUCAACUCGGGAAGUGCAAUUGAUACUGCUUGGCUUGAGUACUGAAGAGGACAGCAGAAUUCCUGGUGUAGUGGUGAAAUACGUAGAUAUCAGGAGGAAUUCCGGUGGCGAAGGCGGCUGUCUGGUCAUGUACUGACGUUGAGGCACGAAAGCGUGGGGAUCAAACAGGAUUAGAUACCCUGGUAGUCCACGCCGUAAACGAUGAUCACUUGGUGUUGGAGGUAUUG
RNAcentral lists this ribosomal RNA (800 nucleotides) under uncultured bacterium. RNAcentral describes it as "bacterial SSU rRNA". It matches the Rfam family "Bacterial small subunit ribosomal RNA", at positions 8 to 834 of the family's 1533-position model. The record is from RNAcentral.